RNAcentral lists this small RNA (2531 nucleotides) under Pan troglodytes (chimpanzee). RNAcentral describes it as "retained intron". Lineage: Eukaryota; Metazoa; Chordata; Mammalia; Primates; Hominidae. The record is from RNAcentral.
CAGGAUGCAGAGGCCACGGAGGAGGGCUGGGCCAGCUUCUCCUGUGAGCUGUCCCACGAGGAUGAGGAGGUCGAGUGGUCGCUCAACGGGAUGCCCCUGUACAAUGACAGCUUCCAUGAGAUCUCACACAAGGGCCGGCGCCACACGCUGGUACUGAAGAGCAUCCAGCGGGCUGAUGCGGGCAUAGUACGCGCCUCCUCCCUGAAGGUGUCGACCUCUGCCCGCCUGGAGGUCCGAGUGAAGCCGGUGGUGUUCCUGAAGGCGCUGGAUGACCUGUCCGCAGAGGAGCGCGGCACCCUGGCCCUGCAGUGUGAAGUCUCUAACCCUGAGGCCCAUGUGGUGUGGCGCAAAGAUGGCGUGCAGCUGGGCCCCAGUGACAAGUAUGACUUCCUGCACACGGCAGGCACGCGGGGGCUCGUGGUGCGUGACGUGAGCCCUGAAGACGCCGGCCUGUACACCUGCCACGUGGGCUCCGAGGAGACCCAGGCCCGGGUCAGCGUGCACGAUCUGCACGUGGGCAUCACCAAGAGGCUGAAGACAAUGGAGGUGCUGGAAGGGGAGAGCUGCAGCUUUGAGUGCGUCCUGUCCCAUGAGAGCGCCAGCGACCCGGCCAUGUGGACAGUCGGUGGGAAGACAGUGAGCAGCUCCAGCCGCUUCCAGGCCACACGUCAGGGCCGAAAAUACAUCCUGGUGGUCCGGGAGGCUGCACCAAGUGAUGCCGGGGAGGUGGUCUUCUCUGUGCGGGGCCUCACCUCCAAGGCCUCACUCAUUGUCAGAGAGAGGCCGGCCGCCAUCAUCAAGCCCCUGGAAGACCAGUGGGUGGCGCCAGGGGAGGACGUGGAGCUGCGCUGUGAGCUGUCACGGGCGGGAACGCCCGUGCACUGGCUGAAGAACAGGAAGGCCAUCCGCAAGAGCCAGAAGUAUGAUGUGGUCUGCGAGGGCACGAUGGCCAUGCUGGUCAUCCGCGGGGCCUCGCUCAAGGACGCGGGCGAGUACACGUGUGAGGUGGAGGCUUCCAAGAGCACAGCCAGCCUCCAUGUGGAAGAAAAAGCAAACUGCUUCACAGAGGAGCUGACCAAUCUGCAGGUGGAGGAGAAAGGCACAGCUGUGUUCACGUGCAAGACGGAGCACCCCGCGGCCACAGUGACCUGGCGCAAGGGCCUCUUGGAGCUACGGGCCUCAGGGAAGCACCAGCCCAGCCAGGAGGGCCUGACCCUGCGGCUCACCAUCAGUGCCCUGGAGAAGGCAGACAGCGACACCUAUACCUGCGACAUUGGCCAGGCCCAGUCCCAGGCCCAGCUCCUAGUGCAAGGUGAGGCGGCCAAGUGUGCUCGGGCCUAGGCUUUGAAUGGCACGGAGACUUGGAGGUGGACAGGCCCAGCCUCAGUUUCUUAUCAUGAGGGUAUAGGGGUGCACCCUGGGUGGUCACUGAGGCUCCCCAGCAUGGCUGUGAAUGAGCUGCUGGUGCUCACUUACUCGUGUGUUUAUUUGGUCACUGUGUUUCUCCCACAUGCCCCGUGUGCCUGGCCCCCAUGCGUAAGCUCAGCGUGUAUCUGUACAUACAACGUGUCACCCUUAUCCCAGAGGGACAGCCUGACUCAGCCGUGCCAGGCAGCCUCAGGUGCUCCCAGGGAAGAACUGAUGGUCAUUAGGGUUGUCAUUGAGAGUUACAGUGGCAUUUUAGUCUUUUUCUUGUUGUUUACAACAGAAUACCUGAAACUGGGUAAUUUAUAAAGAAAAUAAAUUUACCUCUUACAGCUCUGGAGGCUGGGAAGUCCAAGGUCAAGGGGCCACAUCUGGUGAGGGCCCUUUUGCUGACAGGGACUCUCUGCAGAGUCCCCAAGGGAUGGCACAGGGCAUCCCAUGGGGAGGGGGCUGAGUGUGCUAGCUUGGGCCUCUCUUCAUCUUCUUUUAAAGCCACCACUCAUAUGGAAGCACUUUAACCCAUUAACCUGUUAACCCAUUGAUCCAUGAAUGGGUUAAUCCAUUCCUGCCUUGGACCCAAUCCCCUCUUAAAGGCUCCACCUCUUAUUAUUGCCACAUUGGGAUUAAGUUUCAACAUGAGUUUCCAGGGGGACAUUCAGAUCAUAGUAGGUGGCUGUUCGAUCUUACUGUUUGGCUCCACAUUUGAGUGGCAGGCAGAGUGAGAGCUGUCAUUCUCUCGACUCUGUAGAUAAGAAAACUGAAGCUUUAGUGGGUCCGUGGCCAGGGCAAGGUCAUCAGGCACAUUGGGAUCAGAGCAGGCGAGGCCCAGCCCCAUCACCACAGCCUUCAUUUGGCUCUGAAGUCCCGGGCUGGUGUCCAGAGCUGAGUUUGCAGGAGGUCCCUACUGGGGUCUGACCACAGGGCAUUCACAGGGUUCAGUAUUUGAAAGGCCCCAGUUGUGAUCAUCAGAAGUAACGUAAACCAGGAAUCAUCACUGAUUUUUUCUCUCCAAUGGAUUUGGUGACCCUGGUGAAAGUAUUCUGUUAGCACAGUAACGCCCCAUGAUCUAAUAAAGUUGGUACCCAGAGUUAAUUUUUAAAAAAGUC